GCCCUUAUAACUCAAUGGUAGAGCUCCGGCCCGUCAAGCCAAAGGUCAGUGGUUCAAUCCCCGUCCGGGACA
Molecule: transfer RNA, 72 nt
Filed under: Phytophthora infestans (potato late blight agent)
Lineage: Eukaryota; Oomycota; Peronosporomycetes; Peronosporales; Peronosporaceae
Description: tRNA-Asp
Source: RNAcentral